Molecule: ribosomal RNA, 506 nt
Filed under: uncultured bacterium
Lineage: Bacteria
Description: partial 16S ribosomal RNA
Rfam family: Bacterial small subunit ribosomal RNA
Source: RNAcentral
AGUGAACGCUGGCGGUAGGCCUAACACAUGCAAGUCGAACGGCAGCACAGGAGAGCUUGCUCUCUGGGUGGCGAGUGGCGGACGGGUGAGGAAUACAUCGGAAUCUACUCUGUCGUGGGGGAUAACGUAGGGAAACUUACGCUAAUACCGCAUACGACCUACGGGUGAAAGCAGGGGACCUUCGGGCCUUGCGCGAUUGAAUGAGCCGAUGUCGGAUUAGCGAGUUGGCGGGGUAAAGGCCCUCCAAGGCGACGAGCCGUAGCUGGUCUGAGAGGAUGAUCAGCCACACUGGAACUGAGACACGGUCCAGACUCCUACGGGAGGCAGCAGUGGGGAAUAUUGGACAAUGGGCGCAAGCCUGAUCCAGCCAUACCGCGUGGGUGAAGAAGGCCUUCGGGUUGUAAAGCCCUUUUGUUGGGAAAGAAAUCCAGCUGGCUAAUACCCGGUUGGGAUGACGGUACCCAAAGAAUAAGCACCGGCUAACUUCGUGCCAGCCGCCGCCGUAA